GUCUUUUGAGCUCAGUUGAUAGAGCAUGGUGUGUGCAACGCCAGGGUUGUGGGUUCGAUUCCCACGGGGGGCC
RNAcentral lists this transfer RNA (73 nucleotides) under Salmo salar (Atlantic salmon). It matches the Rfam family "tRNA". Rfam says of the family: Transfer RNA (tRNA) molecules are approximately 80 nucleotides in length. Lineage: Eukaryota; Metazoa; Chordata; Actinopteri; Salmoniformes; Salmonidae. The record is from Rfam by way of RNAcentral.